UUUUCUGUCUGCAAGGCUCUGGGCCUCUUGGCCGUCCAUUUCUAGCAGGACGGAUGACACGAAUUCUACCCAUGAGUGAUGCUGUACUACCACCCAUCUUUCUUGGGAGCAACUUGAAAGGCCGACUGGUUUAUUGUUUUUAUUCUCUCAGCUCAAGGCCUGAGUCAUUCCAUUAAGUGAGCGUUCUCCCAGCCAACAGCUGCAAAGUACCAGAUUGGCACGAAGCAGUGUGAGGAUGAAAGGACAUAAUGUCUGUAAUCACUCAGCCAGUGCCUGGCACAAAGGAAGCCCCCAUAGGUGUUGAGACCAGAAUACUUCACAGAAAGUCUUAUUUCUGCUCUGAGUCCAUGAUUCUCAAAGGAUGUGGAAGGGGCUGAAGGAGUCAGUCCUUUGCAAUGGGGAGGGACUAGAGCCUGCCUGCUCCUUUGGAAGCUAACUCCUUGAGAGGACUUGGAGGUAUGUUAUUCUAGCUUCUAUUACUAGAGUCAGCAAUCCGGCUUACAAAAAAAGCCUUGCUAUAAACUACUGUUGUGUGUGUUUGUGGUU
This is a long non-coding RNA of Lontra canadensis (Northern American river otter), 546 nucleotides long. RefSeq lists it as uncharacterized. The record is from RefSeq and is a predicted model, not a curated record. Lineage: Eukaryota; Metazoa; Chordata; Mammalia; Carnivora; Mustelidae. The transcript has 3 exons.